This is a non-coding RNA of Potamilus streckersoni, 77 nucleotides long. Lineage: Eukaryota; Metazoa; Mollusca; Bivalvia; Unionida; Unionidae. The record is from the annotation of a GenBank genome assembly.
AACUGCUCCGGUGGCCUAGUGGUUAGAGCGUCCGCCUCGGAUGCGGGAGGUAUCGGGUUUGAAACCCUGCCAAGUCA